UACGAAGGAUGCGAGCGUUAUCCGGAUUUAUUGGGUUUAAAGGGUGCGUAGGCGGUCUUAUAAGUCAGUGGUGAAAUCUUGUCGCUUAUCGACAAACGUGCCAUUGAUACUGUAGGACUUGAGUACAGAUGCCGUUGGCGGAAUGUGUCAUGUAGCGGUGAAAUGCAUAGAUAUGACACAGAACACCGAUUGCGAAGGCAGCUGACGAAACUGUAACUGACGCUGAUGCACGAAAGCGUGGGGAUCAAACAGG
RNAcentral lists this ribosomal RNA (253 nucleotides) under uncultured bacterium. Its description in RNAcentral is "partial 16S ribosomal RNA". It matches the Rfam family "Bacterial small subunit ribosomal RNA", at positions 524 to 776 of the family's 1533-position model. The record is from RNAcentral.